UUAUUUACCAAAGACAUCCGAUAAAAGUGAAAUGAUACAGAGAAGAUUAUCAUGGCCUCUUUGUAAGGAUGACAUGCACAAAUAAAAAAAUGGUCCAAAUUCAU
Molecule: small nuclear RNA, 104 nt
Organism: Lycium barbarum (goji berry)
Lineage: Eukaryota; Viridiplantae; Streptophyta; Magnoliopsida; Solanales; Solanaceae
Source: RefSeq, a predicted model, not a curated record